Molecule: ribosomal RNA, 438 nt
Filed under: uncultured bacterium
Lineage: Bacteria
Description: bacterial SSU rRNA
Rfam family: Bacterial small subunit ribosomal RNA
Source: RNAcentral
GCAGAACGCGAAGAACCUUACCAAGGCUUGACAUAUACGAGAACGCUCUAGAAAUAGAGAACUCUUUGGACACUCGUAUACAGGUGGUGCAUGGUUGUCGUCAGCUCGUGUCGUGAGAUGUUGGGUUAAGUCCCGCAACGAGCGCAACCCUCGUUCUAUGUUGCCAGCGGUUCGGCCGGGAACUCAUAGGAGACUGCCGGGGUCAACUCGGAGGAAGGUGGGGAUGACAUCAAAUCAUCAUGCCCCUUAUGUCUUGGGCUUCACGCAUGCUACAAUGGCCGGUACAAAGGGCUGCAAUACCGUAAGGUGGAGCGAAUCCCAAAAAGCCGGUCUCAGUUCGGAUUGAGGUCUGCAACUCGACCUCAUGAAGUCGGAGUCGCUAGUAAUCGCAGAUCAGCAACGCUGCGGUGAAUACGUUCCCGGGUCUUGUACACACCG